UACGUAGGGUGCGAGCGUUGUCCGGAAUUAUUGGGCGUAAAGAGCUCGUAGGCGGCUUGUCGCGUCGGAUGUGAAAGCCCGGGGCUUAACUCCGGGUCUGCAUUCGAUACGGGCAGGCUAGAGUUCGGUAGGGGAGAUCGGAAUUCCUGGUGUAGCGGUGAAAUGCGCAGAUAUCAGGAGGAACACCGGUGGCGAAGGCGGUUCUCUGGGCCUGUACUGACGCUGAGGAACGAAAGCGUGGGGAGCGAACAGG
RNAcentral lists this ribosomal RNA (253 nucleotides) under uncultured bacterium. RNAcentral's name for it is "partial 16S ribosomal RNA". It matches the Rfam family "Bacterial small subunit ribosomal RNA", at positions 524 to 776 of the family's 1533-position model. The record is from RNAcentral.